UAAUUGCUUGCUGUAAAGACAAACCUUCUUAAUGAAUUCCUGCUCUCGUUAGGAAGUACCUCCAUACAGUCGAAGCUGCAUUUGAUGUGACGAAAAGAUGAACUGGAGACUCUUCCUUAGAAUCAUCACAACGCCAACAUUUAGAAGCAAUUGAGUAUCCUAUUCUACGCAAGAAGUCAUCAAGUGGCAAUUUUUCUUUCCACACCUUCCAUAAAAAGAAAGAUAUUUUGAAAGGUAGGCCUUUGACCCAUAUCAUCCUGUAAGCUAUCCUUGGAUUGUCUCUUCUUCUCAAGUAAUCCCAUGCAAUUUUUACAGAAAAAUGUCCCUUUGGUUCAAGCAUCCAGACCGGAAUAUCUAAUUCUGCACAUUCUUUUGGAGGGGUAAUGUUCUGCACAAUGUGAUUAGCCCACUCUUCAGGUAAAAUUUGAAAUAAUUUUUCCACANNNNNNNNNNNNNNNNNNNNNNNNNNNNNNNNNNNNNNNNNNNNNNNNNNNNNNNNNNNNNNNNNNNNNNNNNNNNNNNUUCCAUUUAUCAUUAUCAAUCAAAUCAUUUACAUUUUGAAUGUUUUCAUCAAUGGGGAAUGUUGUUGGCAUUUGGAAAUAUAAAGCUCCCAUCUCUAUCCAAUUGUCGAACCAAAACUGAGACGAUCCCAUUCUCAAUUUCAAGAAGAUUUGAUUCUCAAUCAAUUCUCUGCAUUGAAGCAUUUUCUUCCAAGCGUGUGAACCACCCUUCCAAGGUACUAUUACUGGAUUUAAUUUCUUACAAUACUUUUGACACAUAAAAUCACUCCAUAGACUGGGUUUUGUUCUAAAAUUCCACCACAAUUUGCAAAAAAGUGCCUUGGAUACAUCAUGAAGAGAUCUGAAACCUAUACCCCCUUCCUCAUAAGGCAAACAUAGGUUAGUCCAUGAUGACCAAUGUCUUGAAUUUCCUCCCACAUUACUGCUCCAGAAGAAUUUUGCAAAAAUGCUAUGCAAUUUGGUAAUGACAUAUUUAGGAGGAUUAACUGCUGAUAACAUAUGAAUUGGCAUUCUUUGCAGAACAUUUGUGAUCAAUAUAGCCCUGCCGCCUACCGAGAGGAGCUUUCCUUUCCACGACUGCAGUCUGUCCAUAACCUUUGUAAUUAACGCGUGGUAGUAAUCAUUCCUUCUUCUUGCAUAAAAUAUAGGACAUCCAAGAUAUGUCAUUGGGAAGCAUUGUUUUCCUAUACCAGUAACCCCUUCCACCUUGUAAAUCACCACAUCUUUUGUUGAAUGAUGCAGAUAUAUGGCUGAUUUGGCUUUAUUGAUCAAUUGACCCGAUGCUGCUUCAUAAGCUUGCAGAACCUCCAUCACAAGUGUCAGGGACUUUUCAUCAGAUGAGCAGAAAAUGAUUGUAUCAUCCGCAUAAGCCAGGUGGUUUAUUUUUGGACUCCAUUUAGGAAGUCUAAAUCCGCUGAAAAACCGGUUAUUAUGCAGUGAAUUCAAACCUCUAGACAAAGCUUCUGCUGCUAGAACGAAUAAGGUAGGUGACAGAGGGUCUCCCUGCUUUACUCCCCUAGAAGAUUUGAAAAAACCAUUUGGUUGUCCAUUUAUUAGAAUAGAGUACCAGUUAUUCCCAAUCAAAUCAUAUAUCAAGCCGAUAAAAUCUUCUGGAAAACCCAUCUUUCUUAGCACUUUUGUCAAGAAAAGCCAUGAUAAUCUAUCAUACGCUUUUGUCAUAUCUAGCUUUAUCACCACAUUUGGGAAAAGCCAUGAUAAUCUAUCAUACACUUUUGUCAUAUCUAGCGUUAUCACCACAUUUGGUCCUGCUUUGGUUCUCACCCUGAUAUCCUUAAUGAUUUCUUUUGUUAACAGGACAUUCUCUACAAUAUUUCUUCCCUUUACGAAACCUGCUUGCUCCUCCGAGAUGAUGUUUGGUAAUAAAUCCUUCAGCCUUUCAUGAAUGACCCUUGAGAAAAUCUUGUUAACAAAGUUACUAAGACUGAUAGGUCUCAAGUCUGCUUUCACUUCUUUUUUCUUUGGCAAUAAAACCAGUUUGUAUGCGUGACACUCUUUGGGAGCUGGUGACCGCAGAAGAAAUACUUGACCAUGCUGACCACUUCUUCUUCAAUGAUGUCCCAGCAUGAUUGAUAGAAAACUCCAGUGAAAUCGUCUGGACCGCCUGUUGAAUCUCCAUUCAGCCCCAUUACUGCUUUCUUCACUUCCUCAUUAGAAGGUAAGUCCAUUAAUCUCUCAUGUUGACCAUGAUCUAUCAUUGGAGGAACAUGCUUCAAAAUAUCAAAAUCAAUGGGAAAAGACCUCUCAGAAAAUAACUCCUUGUAAAAUUUAACAGCUUCCUCUGCUAUUUUGUGAUCUUCUUCAAUCCAAUUACCAUCACUAUCCUGGAUUCUUGAUAACUUUAUCUUUUCCUUCUCCCGUUAACCUGGGCAUGAAAAAUUUUUGUGUUUCUAUUACCAUCUUUAAACCACAACAUGCCUGCUUUUUGUUUCCAGAAUAAUUCUUCUAAUGCAAGAUAUUUAAGCAAUUCAGCUUGAACCUGUUGUAAUCUUUGUCUAUUUCUCUGAAUAGAUAUUUAAGCAAUUCAGCUUGAACUUGCCGUAAUCUUUGUCUAUUUGUCUGAGUAAGAUUUAUUUCAAAAAGAUUUUCAUGAAUUAAUACCACCUCCUCUAGACUUGCAAUCUUCUUGAAAAUAUCCCCAUGUGUAGCUCUGCUCCAAGUAGACAGUGCAUGUUUAAGUUUUUUUAACUUGAAGUUAGAAUUGCUGAAAGGAUUUGCACUAGAUUCACCAUUCCAGGUCUCUUUCACUACAUCUUUAAAAGAUUCAUGCUUUAUCCAAAAAUAAAGAAAUCUGAAAGACUUCUUAACAGGGGAAUUAUUUAUAUUACACUUGAGCAGCAUUGGGCAAUGGUCAGAGCCUAUUUUGGACAAAUGAGUUACCUCCAAUCCAGGAACGGUCUGUUGCAGCUCAUCAUUUCCUAGACAUCUGUCUAGUCUUUUGAAAAUACAGUCUUCUUCUGAUCUACCAUUCCACCAUGUGAAAAUGCUUCCUUUGAACCCCAAAUCAUUUAAUGUACAAGAGUUUAUGCAAUGUCUGAAAUCAUCUACUUCGAGGAACGAGACUGGCAAACCACCAAACUUCUCUUCCUCAUCCCAAAUCACAUUAAUGUCUCCUCCGACCAGCCAUGGUAUAGUAAUGUGUGAUGCCAUUGAAUAUAGAGAAUCCCAUAAUUCAAUUCUUUCCAUGUGAUCGCAUUUAGCAUAUACUAGCGUAAGGAUGAGCUCUGCAUGUGUUUCAGUGUGCACCAAUUUUAAAGUCAACUGUUGAGUCAAAUUAUACAAAAUAUUAACUUCAAAUAUUUCAUCAAUAAAAGCCCAAAUCUUGUUUGACACAUGCACCACAGCUUGAGCCAAACCAAUUCUUGCUCUAUAUCUGUCCAUUUUGUUAGACUGUUGCAUAGGUUCAAUUAUUCCAAUGAAUUGAAAUUGAUGUUUCCGAUGCUUUGUAACCAGCCUUUGAAAUGCUUGCUUUGUAUUUACUGAUCUCACAUUCCAGAUAAUGGCAUGUUUCCGAUGCAUUGUAACCAGCCUUUGAAAUGCUUGCUUUGUAUUUACUGAUCUCACAUUCCAAAUAAUUGCAUCCAUUAGAGUUUUUUGGGUUUGGACAUACUGCUCCUUGUUUUUACUCCCUUGGACUGUGCAUUUGAAGUCUGAUUUGACUGUUUCUUUUUUUCUUUUGCUGGAACUUUCACAGGUUCAAUAAUCUUUGGAGGCAUAUCCCCUUGCUUGGGAACAUUAAGGAAAAUUGAGCAGUGGAUUUUUCCUCCAAAUCUACAUCUCUUAUUUCUGCAUGUGUCACAGUAUUAUGUGUUUCCACUGCCGCUUCCAUAAUUAUGUUUUGAUUUGCGUCCCUUAUUGCAUGGGCUAGCACUGCUCCUGGAUCUAUUGUAGAUACUUUU
This 3937-nucleotide long non-coding RNA is filed under the name Nicotiana benthamiana. RNAcentral describes it as "long non-coding RNA (NBEN_LNC031562)". Lineage: Eukaryota; Viridiplantae; Streptophyta; Magnoliopsida; Solanales; Solanaceae. The record is from RNAcentral.